Long non-coding RNA from Herpailurus yagouaroundi (jaguarundi), 212 nucleotides. RefSeq lists it as uncharacterized. The transcript has 2 exons. The record is from RefSeq and is a predicted model, not a curated record. Lineage: Eukaryota; Metazoa; Chordata; Mammalia; Carnivora; Felidae.
AGCUGAUCAGUCUGUUUCCUACAACCCCACUGGACAUUGCCAUCUAGCCAGGCUGGGAUGAGAGAACUUGGAGAAAACAAGCCUGUUUUUAACCGUUUCAGUCUGAUCUAUUUGCAGGUGAGAAGAUUAUGUUACCUGUAUUUCAGGGCUUGGCAGGAAAAAGGUGUCAAUGUUGCAGCAUAAUGAAAUAAAGUCAUAGCCCUAAAUUCUAA